GCGAAGAACGAUCGGCAGCAAACUUGCAAAGAAGGCUGCUGCACUAUGUUGAAUUGGGAAGGGCCCUGAUCAGUCCCAUGUGGAUCACCGUUGGAGGGCUUCUACUUUUGAGUUUUGUGGAGAUCUCAUGAUUACCAAAUUAUCAUCUUUAUGUUGGUAUAUAACUUCAGAUUUUUUCAUGUUAUACAUGCUUAUGUUAUUUGAUUGCAAUCAUCAAGGUGUUCCUAGGGCUUUUGUAU
This 239-nucleotide long non-coding RNA is filed under the name Elaeis guineensis (African oil palm). RNAcentral's name for it is "long non-coding RNA (EGUI_LNC066657)". The record is from RNAcentral. Lineage: Eukaryota; Viridiplantae; Streptophyta; Magnoliopsida; Arecales; Arecaceae.